CAAAGUCUAAAAAAUGACCUGGCACAAAUGCAUCUUCAUCUCUAAAAAAUACGCUGGCACCCAGCCCAUUAAAAUAAUAUUAUUUUUUUUUUGCAAAAUAAUAAAAAAAUUAGUUUUAAUUUCUGAUAGAAUUUUUAACCAAUCUUGUCACGCCACGUGUCAUUAUCCGAAAGUACUAUUUUGUGGAUAGAUUUUCGAUAAGAUUUUCAACAAUCCCGACGCGCCACAUGUCACUAUCUGUUUAAAAUAAUUUAGCCAAUAUUUCGAUAAGUUUCCACGUAGCAAUUUUUUUCACGUAACAAUAUAUGAAAGCUUUGGUUGAAAGUGUUGAAAAUAUUGAAAUGUGGUGUAAGGUGAAAGAUGAUGGUUAGGUAUUUAUAGAAAAUAAUAAUCUUUUUUUUUUUCUGUAUUUUUAAACCAUUUUUAUUAAUUUUUAUUAAGUUAAUUAAUAUGGACCGUUGGAUAUGAAAAAGAUUCAAAUCCAACAGCCCAGAUUUGGACACGUGGCCAACUGUCAU
RNAcentral lists this long non-coding RNA (518 nucleotides) under Malus domestica (apple). RNAcentral's name for it is "long non-coding RNA (MDOM_LNC017290)". The record is from RNAcentral. Lineage: Eukaryota; Viridiplantae; Streptophyta; Magnoliopsida; Rosales; Rosaceae.